GAUGAACGCUGGCGGCGUGCCUAAUACAUGCAAGUCGAGCGAACGGACGAGAAGCUUGCUUCUCUGAUGUUAGCGGCGGACGGGUGAGUAACACGUGGAUAACCUACCUAUAAGACUGGGAUAACUUCGGGAAACCGGAGCUAAUACCGGAUAAUAUUUUGAACCGCAUGGUUCAAAAGUGAAAGACGGUCUUGCUGUCACUUAUAGAUGGAUCCGCGCUGCAUUAGCUAGUUGGUAAGGUAACGGCUUACCAAGGCAACGAUGCAUAGCCGACCUGAGAGGGGGAUCGGCCACCCUGGAACUGAGACCCGGUCCAACCCCCCACGGGGGGCAGCAGUAGGGAAUUUUCCGAAAUGGGCGAAAGCCUGACGGAGCAACGCCGGGGGGGGGAUGAAGGUUUUCGGACCGUAAAACUCUUUUAUUAGGGAAAAAAAUUUGUGUAAGUAACUGUGCACAUCUUGACGGUACCUAAUCAAAAAGCCACGGCUAACUACGU
This 496-nucleotide ribosomal RNA is filed under the name uncultured bacterium. Its description in RNAcentral is "partial 16S ribosomal RNA". It matches the Rfam family "Bacterial small subunit ribosomal RNA", at positions 28 to 506 of the family's 1533-position model. The record is from RNAcentral.